This 1414-nucleotide ribosomal RNA is filed under the name uncultured fungus. Its description in RNAcentral is "eukaryotic LSU rRNA". The stretch from base 783 to 1414 matches the Rfam family "Eukaryotic large subunit ribosomal RNA", at positions 1 to 648 of the family's 3401-position model. Lineage: Eukaryota; Fungi. The record is from RNAcentral.
AAGUCGUAACAAGGUUUCCGUAGUGAUCCUUCGAAGCCUUUUCACACAACGACUCUAACAAAAUCGCGUGCAGUCCCUUCCAUUAUGAUUUGGGGCUACGUCACUAAAGUGCUGGGAUACAAAGUUCUGUAAAUCAGCAGCCAAGCAGAAAGAAAACUUCAAUGUUUGGUUCACAGAUUAGCUGAGUGACGGUCAGUGAGAGAUCAACAAAGAAUCAACACUGAUGAAGAUAUAAUCGGUCUCUAUUUUAUCCAUAGCGACGGCACGUUCCGUAGGUGAACCUGCGGAAGGAUCAUUAUCGAGUUAGGGUUCUCUGGGCCCCAUCUCCAACCCUUGUCUAUCCACCACGUUGCUUUGGCGGGCCCGUUCCCUCGCGGGACCGCCAGGGAGGGAUCUCCCUGGCCCGCGCCCGCCAAUAGCCCCCACAAAUCCUUCUAUCGGUGUUGUCUAAGUCCCUCAGAAUAAACAAAACUUUCAACAACGGAUCUCUUGGUUCUGGCAUCGAUGAAGAACGCAGCGAAAUGCGAUAAGUAAUGCGAAUUGCAGAAUUCCGUGAGUCAUCGAAUCUUUGAACGCACAUUGCGCCCUUUGGUAUUCCGAAGGGCAUGCCUGUCCGAGCGUCAUGAUCAACCCUCAAGCCCGGCUUGCCGUUGGGUCCCACCGCUGCGAGACGCGGUGGACCCGAAAGACAAUGGCCGAGUCCGCGGGGCCCGGAUACAGCGAGCUUUCAGCACGUGUCCAGGCGCCUCCCGGCUCCGUCUUGACCAAACAAUUUAUCAGGUUGACCUCGGAUCAGGCAGGAAUACCCGCUGAACUUAAGCAUAUCAAUAAGCGGAGGAAAAGAAACCAACAGGGAUUGCCUCAGUAACGGCGAGUGAAGCGGCAACAGCUCAAAUUUGAAAUCUGGCCCCUCUCGGGGUCCGAGUUGUAAUUUGUAGAGGACGCUUCGGGCAAGGCCGCGGUCUAAUUCGCUUGGAACAGCGAGUCACAGAGGGUGAGAAUCCCGUCUAGGACCGUGUGCCGCGCCCGUGUGAAGCUCCUUCGACGAGUCGAGUUGUUUGGGAAUGCAGCUCUAAAUGGGUGGUAAAUUUCAUCUAAAGCUAAAUAUGGGCCAGAGACCGAUAGCGCACAAGUAGAGUGAUCGAAAGAUGAAAAGCACUUUGAAAAGAGAGUUAAACAGUAUGUGAAAUUGUUGAAAGGGAAGCGCUUGCGACCAGACUUGCGUGUGACGGUUCCCCCGGUCUUCUGACCGGGUCACUCCGUCACUCCAGGCCAGCAUCGGUCCGGGUGGGCGGUGAAAGACCCCGGGAAUGUAUCUACCUCCGGGUCGACUUAUAGCCCGGGGUGCAAUGCGCCCUACCUGGACCGAGGAACGCGCUCCGGCUCGGAUGCUGGCGUAAUGGUCGCAAGCGGC